CGGGUGAGUAACACGUGGGCAACCUUUCCCAUCGUGGGGGAGUAACACCGGGAAACCGGUGCUAAUACCGCAUGUGAUCGCUGGAGGCAUCUCCAGCGAAGAAAGCAGCAAUGGCGCGAUGGGGUGGGCCCGCGGCCUAUCAGCUUGUCGGUGGGGUAACGGCCUACCGAGGCUUUGACGGGUAGCUGGUCUGAGAGGACGACCAGCCACACGGGGACUGAGACACGGCCCCCG
RNAcentral lists this ribosomal RNA (234 nucleotides) under uncultured bacterium. RNAcentral describes it as "partial 16S ribosomal RNA". It matches the Rfam family "Bacterial small subunit ribosomal RNA", at positions 103 to 335 of the family's 1533-position model. The record is from RNAcentral.